Molecule: ribosomal RNA, 254 nt
Filed under: uncultured bacterium
Lineage: Bacteria
Description: partial 16S ribosomal RNA
Rfam family: Bacterial small subunit ribosomal RNA
Source: RNAcentral
UACGUAGGGGUCUAGCGUUGUCCGGAAUUAUUGGGCGUAAAGAGCUCGUAGGCGGUGUGUCACGUCGGCCGUGAAAACCUGCAGCUUAACUGUGGGCGUGCGGUCGAUACGGGCAUCACUGGAGUUCGGUAGGGGAGACUGGAAUUCCUGGUGUAGCGGUGAAAUGCGCAGAUAUCAGGAGGAACACCGGUGGCGAAGGCGGGUCUCUGGGCCGAUACUGACGCUGAGGAGCGAAAGCGUGGGGAGCGAACAGG